RNAcentral lists this ribosomal RNA (728 nucleotides) under Linnemannia elongata. RNAcentral describes it as "eukaryotic LSU rRNA". It matches the Rfam family "Eukaryotic large subunit ribosomal RNA", at positions 38 to 612 of the family's 3401-position model. Lineage: Eukaryota; Fungi; Mortierellomycota; Mortierellomycetes; Mortierellales; Mortierellaceae. The record is from RNAcentral.
GCAUAUCAAUAAGCGGAGGAAAAGAAACUAACAAGGAUUCCCCUAGUAACGGCGAGUGAAGCGGGAUGAGCUCAAAUUUAAAAUCUGGCUGGUUUACUAGUCCGAAUUGUAGUUUAUAGAAGCGUUUUCGGUGGCAGCCUGGGUAUAAAUCCUUUGGAAUAGGGUAUCAUAGAGGGUGAGAAUCCCGUCUUUGACUCAGUGCAUGCUACUAUGUGAUACGUUUUCAAAGAGUCGAGUUGUUUGGGAAUGCAGCUCAAAAUGGGUGGUAAAUUUCAUCUAAAGCUAAAUAUUGGCGAGAGACCGAUAGCGAACAAGUACCGUGAGGGAAAGAUGAAAAGAACUUUGAAAAGAGAGUUAAACAGUGCGUGAAAUUGUUGNUNCNUGAAACGUUUGACACCAGUUAUGCGGGUGGAAAAUCAGUCUUUUGCAAUGGGGAGUUGUGGGCGUUCAGACCGCAAGGCUGGCGUUUGCUUCAUCUUUGUUGUAAGUGAUGCACUUUUUCAUUUGCAGGUCAACAUCAGUUUGCUUUGCUGGACAAAACCCCAAGGGAAGGUGGCAGCUUAGGCUGUGUUAUAGCCCUGGGGCGAUACAGUGGAGUGGACUGAGGUUUCGCAGUGUGUGCUCUCGGGCAAGGCUGACUGGGUGCUAUGGGAUCGUUCGGCGUACAAUGCAUGCAUUUUGCGUCGUGUCUUUUUCAUACUCGCUCAACUCGGCUCUCCACACUAGGA